RNAcentral lists this ribosomal RNA (1007 nucleotides) under Pseudomonas fluorescens. RNAcentral describes it as "bacterial SSU rRNA". It matches the Rfam family "Bacterial small subunit ribosomal RNA", at positions 1 to 915 of the family's 1533-position model. Lineage: Bacteria; Pseudomonadati; Pseudomonadota; Gammaproteobacteria; Pseudomonadales; Pseudomonadaceae. The record is from RNAcentral.
UCAAAAAAAUGUUUNGGUAUCCCANACGGGAUAUCUNGAAUAUAUACCAUGCCGCGCUUUAAGGGGCAGAGACCUUUUUCGUGUUAAAAUAUGCUACUNUUUUUGUUGUUAUCCUGGUUUAAAAUGAAGGGUGGGGGCAGGCCUACACAAUGCAAGUCGAGCGUAGAGGAGGGCUGCACCUCUGAGAGCGCGACGGUGAGUAAUGCCUAGAAUCUGCUUGUNGUGGGGAUAACGCUCCGAAACGGACGCUAAUACCGCAUACGUCCUACGGGAGAAAGCAGGGGACCUUCGGGCCUUGCGCUAUCAGAUGAGCCUAGGUCGGAUUAGCUAGUUGGUGGGGUAAUGGCUCACCAAGGCGACGAUCCGUAACUGGUCUGAGAGGAUGAUCAGUCACACUGGAACUGAGACACGGUCCAGACUCCUACGGGAGGCAGCAGUGGGGAAUAUUGGACAAUGGGCGAAAGCCUGAUCCAGCCAUGCCGCGUGUGUGAAGAAGGUCUUCGGAUUGUAAAGCACUUUAAGUUGGGAGGAAGGGCAUUAACCUAAUACGUUAGUGUUUUGACGUUACCGACAGAAUAAGCACCGGCUAACUCUGUGCCAGCAGCCGCGGUAAUACAGAGGGUGCAAGCGUUAAUCGGAAUUACUGGGCGUAAAGCGCGCGUAGGUGGUUCGUUAAGUUGGAUGUGAAAUCCCCGGGCUCAACCUGGGAACUGCAUUCUAAAACUGUCGAGCUAGAGUAUGGUAGAGGGUGGUGGAAUUUCCUGUGUAGCGGUGAAAUGCGUAGAUAUAGGAAGGAACACCAGUGGCGAAGGCGACCACCUGGACUGAUACUGACACUGAGGUGCGAAAGCGUGGGGAGCAAACAGGAUUAGAUACCCUGGUAGUCCACGCCGUAAACGAUGUCAACUAGCCGUUGGGAGCCUUGAGCUCUUAGUGGCGCAGCUAACGCAUUAAGUGACCGCCGUGCGAGAUCGGCCGAAAGGAUUUUUAGGCAAUNGCUUUUCGAA